Molecule: ribosomal RNA, 1502 nt
Filed under: uncultured Bordetella sp.
Lineage: Bacteria; Pseudomonadati; Pseudomonadota; Betaproteobacteria; Burkholderiales; Alcaligenaceae
Description: partial 16S-23S ribosomal RNA intergenic spacer
Rfam family: Bacterial small subunit ribosomal RNA
Source: RNAcentral
AAGGAGCGUCGGUGGCGCGGCGUAACAAGGACUUGAUCUGUGACUCGAUUGAACGCUGGCGGGAUGCUUUACGUACCGUCCGAACGGCAGCACGGACUUCGGUCUGGUGGCGAGUGGCGAACGGGUGAGUAAUGUAUCGGAACGUGCCCUAGUAGCGGGGGAUAACUACGCGAAAGCGUAGCUAAUACGCCGCCCUUCGGGGAAAGCGGGGGACCUUCGGGCCUCGCCUAUUAGAGCGGCCGAUAUCGGAUUAGCUAGUUGGUGGGAGUAACGGCUCACCAAGGCGACGAUCCGUAGCUGGUUGAAGGGCGGUAGCCACACUGGGACUGAGACACGGCCCAGACUCCUGCGGGAGGCAGCAGUGGGGAAUUUUGGACAAUGGAAACUGCAGUCCAGCCAUCCCGCGUGUUGCGAUGAAGGCCUUCGGGUUGUAAAGCACUUUUGGCAGGAGAAAGAAACGGCACGGGAUAAUACCCCGUGCAACUGACAUUACGCAGAAUAAGCACCGGCUAACCACGUGCCAGCAGCGCGGUAAUACGUAAGUGCAAGCGUUAAUCGGAAUUACUGGGCGUAAAAGCGUGCGCAGGCGGUUCGGAAAGAAAGAUGUGAAAUCCCAGAGCUUUAACUUUGCAGAACUGCAUUUUUAACUACCGAGCUGAGUGUGUCAGAGGGAGGUGGAAUUCCGCGUGUAGCAGUGAAAUGCGUAGAUAUGCGGAGGAACACCGAUGGCGAAAACGACCUCCUGGGAUAACACUGACGCUCAUGCACGAAGAAAGCGUGGGGGCAAACAGGAUUUAGAUACCCUGGUAGUCCGCCUAAACGAUGUCAACUAGCUGUUGGGGCCUUCGAGCCUUGGUAGCGCAGCUAACGCGUGAAGUUGACCGCCUGGGAAGUACGGUCGCAAGAUUAAACUCAAAGGAAUUGACGGGGACCCACUGAAGCGGUGGAUGAUGUGGAUUAAUUCGAUGCAGCUUGCGAAAAACACCUACCCUUGGCUUAUGUGGAAUCCCGAAGAGAUUUGGGAGUGCUCGCAAGAGAACCGGAACACAGGUGCUGCAUGGCUGUCGUCGGCUCGUGUCGUGAGAUGUUGGGUUAAGUCCCGCAACGAAGCGCAACCCUUGUCAUUAGUUGCUACGAAAGGGCACUCUGGCGGGGCUGCGGUGACAAACCCGGAAGGUGGGGAUGGCGUCAAGUCCUCAUGGCCGCUAUGGGUAGGGCUUCACGUCAUACAAUGGUCGCAAGGACUGAGAGGGUGCCAACCCGCAAGGGGAGCCAAUCCCAGAGAGCCAGUCGUAGUCGGAUCGCAAGUCUGCAACUCGACUGCGUGAAGUCGGAAUCGCUAGUAAUCGCGGAUCAGCAUGUCGCGGUGAAUACGUUCCCGGGUCUUGUACACACCGCCCGUCACACCAUGGGAGUGGGUUUACAGAAGUAGUUAGCCUAACCGUAAGGAGGGCGAUUACCACGGUAGGAUUCAUGACUGGGGUGAAGUCGUAACAAGGUAG